AGCGAACGCUGGCGGCAGGCUUGACACAUGCAAGUCGAGCGCCCCGCAAGGGGAGCGGCAGACGGGAGAGUAACACGUGGGAACGUACCCUUUAGUUCGGAACAACCCAGGGAAACUUGGGCUAAUACCGGAUACGUCCGUAAGGAGAAAGAUUUAUCGCUAAAGGAUCGGCCCGCGUCUGAUUAGCUAGUUGGUGAGGUAACGGCUCACCAAGGCGACGAUCAGUAGCUGGUCUGAGAGGAUGAUCAGCCUCACUGGGACUGAGACACGGCCCAGACUCCUACGGGAGGCAGCAGUGGGGAAUGUUGGACAAUGGGCGCAAGCCUGAUCCAGCCACGCCGCGUGGGUGAUGAAGGCCCUAGGGUUGUAAAGCCCUUUCGGCGGGGAAGAUAACGACGGUACCCGCAGAAGAAGCCCCGGCUAACUUCGUGCCAGCCGCCGCAGUAA
This 447-nucleotide ribosomal RNA is filed under the name uncultured bacterium. Its description in RNAcentral is "partial 16S ribosomal RNA". It matches the Rfam family "Bacterial small subunit ribosomal RNA", at positions 29 to 523 of the family's 1533-position model. The record is from RNAcentral.